RNAcentral lists this ribosomal RNA (495 nucleotides) under uncultured bacterium. RNAcentral describes it as "partial 16S ribosomal RNA". It matches the Rfam family "Bacterial small subunit ribosomal RNA", at positions 29 to 507 of the family's 1533-position model. The record is from RNAcentral.
AUGAACGCUGGCGGCGUGCCUAAUACAUGCAAGUCGAGCGAACGGACGAGAAGCUUGCUUCUCUGAUGUUAGCGGCGGACGGGUGAGUAACACGUGGAUAACCUACCUAUAAGACUGGGAUAACUUCGGGAAACCGGAGCUAAUACCGGAUAAUAUUUUGAACCGCAUGGUUCAAAAGUGAAAGACGGUCUUGCUGUCACUUAUAGAUGGAUCCGCGCUGCAUUAGCUAGUUGGUAAGGUAACGGCUUACAAGGCAACGAUGCAUAGCCGACCUGAGAGGGUGAUCGGCCACACUGGAACUGAGACACGGUCCAGACUCCUACGGGAGGCAGCAGUAGGGAAUCUUCCGCAAUGGGCGAAAGCCUGACGGAGCAACGCCGCGUGAGUGAUGAAGGUCUUCGGAUCGUAAAACUCUGUUAUUAGGGAAGAACAUAUGUGUAAGUAACUGUGCACAUCUUGACGGUACCUAAUCAGAAAGCCACGGCUAACUACGUG